GAUGAACGCUGGCGGCGUGCCUAAUACAUGCAAGUCGAGCGAACAGACGAGGAGCUUGCUCCUCUGACGUUAGCGGCGGACGGGUGAGUAACACGUGGAUAACCUACCUAUAAGACUGGGAUAACUUCGGGAAACCGGAGCUAAUACCGGAUAAUAUAUUGAACCGCAUGGUUCAAUAGUGAAAGACGGUUUUGCUGUCACUUAUAGAUGGAUCCGCGCCGCAUUAGCUAGUUGUUAAGGUAACGGCUUACCAAGGCAACGAUGCGUAGCCGACCUGAGAGGGUGAUCGGCCACACUGGAAGUGAGACACGGUCCAGACUCCUACGGGAGGCAGCAGUAGGGAAUCUUACGCAAUGGGCGAAAGCUUGACAGAGCAACGCCGCGUGAGUGAUGAAGGUCUUCGGAUCGUAAAACUCUGUUAUUAGGGAAGAACAAAUGUGUAAGUAACUAUGCACGUCUUGACGGUACCUAAUCAGAAAGCCACGGCUAACUACGUG
RNAcentral lists this ribosomal RNA (497 nucleotides) under uncultured bacterium. Its description in RNAcentral is "partial 16S ribosomal RNA". It matches the Rfam family "Bacterial small subunit ribosomal RNA", at positions 28 to 507 of the family's 1533-position model. The record is from RNAcentral.